UACGGGAGGCAGCAGUGGGGAAUAUUGCACAAUGGGCGCAAGCCUGAUGCAGCCAUGCCGCGUGUAUGAAGAAGGCCUUCGGGUUGUAAAGUACUUUCAGUCGUGAGGAAGGUGUUAAGGUUAAUAACCUUAGCAAUUGACGUUAGCGACAGAAGAAGCACCGGCUAACUCCGUGCCAGCAGCCGCGGUAAUACGGAGGGUGCGAGCGUUAAUCGGAAUUACUGGGCGUAAAGGGCACGCAGGCGGUUAAUUAAGUUGGAUGUGAAAUCCCCGGGCUUAACCUGGGAAUGGCAUUCAAGACUGGUUAGCUAGAGUCUUGUAGAGGGGGUAGAAUUCCAUGUGUAGCGGUGAAAUGCGUAGAGAUGUGGAGGAAUCCGGUGGCGAAGGCGGCCCCUGGACAAAGGCUGACGCUCAUGUGCGAAAGCGCGGGGAGCAAACG
RNAcentral lists this ribosomal RNA (439 nucleotides) under uncultured bacterium. RNAcentral's name for it is "bacterial SSU rRNA". It matches the Rfam family "Bacterial small subunit ribosomal RNA", at positions 340 to 774 of the family's 1533-position model. The record is from RNAcentral.